GGGUUUUAGCUCAGUUGGGAGAGCGCCUGGUUCGCAAUCAGGAGGUCGAGGGUUCGAAUCCCUUAAGCUCC
Molecule: transfer RNA, 71 nt
Filed under: uncultured Bulleidia sp.
Lineage: Bacteria; Bacillati; Bacillota; Erysipelotrichia; Erysipelotrichales; Erysipelotrichaceae
Rfam family: tRNA
About the family: Transfer RNA (tRNA) molecules are approximately 80 nucleotides in length. Their secondary structure includes four short double-helical elements and three loops (D, anti-codon, and T loops).
Source: RNAcentral